Molecule: long non-coding RNA, 1073 nt
Organism: Esox lucius (northern pike)
Lineage: Eukaryota; Metazoa; Chordata; Actinopteri; Esociformes; Esocidae
Source: Ensembl
UUCGUGAGCUGCUGAAUAACCAAAUCUUAGGACUCGCUCUCACACGGACGGACGGACGUACAGGCGCAGAUGCAAUCUGUCAAUCUCCAAAUAGCCAAACGUUGUUUACUCUACUACUCUGAAGAGGAAUGUCUCUGCGAAUGUCUCUUCUCUCUUUUGUUUAAGUGUAACCUGGAUGUGGACCUGAGGGCCCAGUGCUCCGAUGUGGACUGUGCCUUCAGCCAGCGAUGUGUACAGCUCACUGAGGCCAAGACACGGCUGAAACUGCACCUGGCCCAGAUCCUUUGUUUCGGACCUCCACCAAGAGGACAAAAGCUUCAGCCCUUCCUGCCUCUGGUUCAGAGUCUGAAAUCACACCACGGAAGCCUGGGGAUGUGAGUGGUAUUCGUUUCUUUUGUUGCUUCAUCCUUGAUUCUGCCCAAAAAAAAUAAAAAAUAAACCUUGAGCAGGAGUGAGUGUGGUUAGAAUCAAGGACAGGGCUAAAAGACAGAGACCUUUCUUGUCUCAGAAGCCACCACUCAAAGAUGUUUGGAUCUACUGAUAAGGAAUGCGCAUUGAUUAUGGAAUGGGUAUUUGAAUUGCGUGCCGUCUAAUUUGGCACACCGACCUAGAUGAAAGUUGUUGCUCCUCUUUGAUGGAAACUCUCCAAACGGUCAUGAGUUGGCAGUUAAGAUUUGAUGAGAAUGCUGAGUUUUGUUGAUGCUUUUGAGGUGUUCAAAUUUGACGUCCCUCGCUCAAGGACACAAUAAUAGACAAUUGCUUCUCACGUUGGCCUAAGGAAAGCAAUCCAUUUGUACGUCAAAUAUUCACAAAUCAGAAACUAAACUGACUACACUGAAACACAUGCAGACUGCCAUUGUAGUGAACACACACACGCACACACACUCUACACUGUCUCUUUGUACUGUCUCAAAUACACUGUCUUUAUCCGAGAUGCACUCAGAAGUAAAAGUAUUCCACUUCUAAAAGCUUCAAAGUAUUCCCCUUCUAAAAGCUUGAAAUUGUAGUUGCUGGGUUGAAUGAACACAUCUAAAAGACUGAACACAUCUUAAAGACUGAACACAUCUAAAAGA